Molecule: long non-coding RNA, 1118 nt
Organism: Chelonia mydas (Green sea turtle)
Lineage: Eukaryota; Metazoa; Chordata; Testudines; Cheloniidae
Exons: 4
Source: RefSeq, a predicted model, not a curated record
GCUGUAAAGCCCUCUAAGCCUGAAGACUAAGUGGGACCAGAUGAGGAAGAAGCUGGAGGAGGACCUACAGGGUUAUUUUACAACUGGCCUGUACCCUGAUCUCAACUCUUUGCGCAAGGGUGAACACGAAGAGGCCAGUGAAGAGCUGUGCCUGGAAAGCCAGGAUCUCUUUGGGACUCACAACCCUGAAGACAACUUUGUGGAAAGGGUGAUCCCAGCCAGAAACUCAGGCUGGUAUUGAGGCAGAUCCUAUUGAGUGAACCUCAGCAUGACCAGCCCACACCAGUCACCAGCCAAUCUGGCUCUCCUACAGCUCAGAACAAGAAAAGUAUCACUUUUUUCCCCCACUGGAAAAGACAGAAGUUCAAGUUCUUAUGAAUACCAACCAGCUUGUGAAAGACAUCGUAAGUUAAUAUCGAGAUCUCUGCGACUGGGACUGUAGCAUGACAUUUCCAAGUAAGGCUUUAUCUGGACUGGGAUAAAAGGUGUGUAGGCUAACAUGCUCUAACAGUCUGUGGUAGACAAGACCCUCUUACUCAACCAUUGUAGCAUAUGUAAAAGGCAAAGCCUUUAACUAACUGAGCUUGUGUUGAAGAUUAUACUGCCUUUUCUAGUUCUAGACUUUUAGAACGCGUUCAUUACAACUUGUUAGCUAACACAUUAACAUGAAUGUUAUCCUAGUAUAGACAAUGGGUAAAAUUUUCAAAAGCACUUUGGAUGGCUUAGAAGCCUAAAUCCCAUUGAAAAUUAAAGGGAUUUAAAUGCUGAAGUCAUUUAUGCAGUUUUGAAAAUUUUAUUCAAGCUGUAACUUUAUAAAGACACUUACCUUAAGUAGAGUGGGGACCCUUUGUUGAAGUUGGGUUGUGGGGGGUGUGUGGUAUUUCUGUAUAUAGAGUAUUUUGAAGAUAAUGAAUAUUUUGUUGUUGUCAUAUAAGAUACAACACUAGGCAGUUGAUUGUUGUAUACAGUGUAAUCAUAUAAGCUCAUUCCCACAUGUUUAGUCUUGUCAAUAUCCAUACACAGUUGUGCAUAUUCGAGCAUCAGAAGAUAUAAACAAAUAUGUCUUGUAUUAUGUUAGGUUUUAUAGAAUAAAAUAAGCAGCCACACAGAGAGAGAGA